CCAGAUGCGCGGUUUCGAUCAGAUGCUCGGAACUUCUUGAGAACUUUGGGGCAGGAUCAAAGUCUUCAUUGGUUGGUCUGUAGGGAUUUUAAUGAAAUCCUUUAUUCUUAUGAGAAUAGAGGCGAGAUGGUUAGAGAGUAACUCCGUAUGAAAGAAUUUCGAAAUGUUCUGUCAAACUAUUUUUUAGAGGAUUUAGGUUAUGAGUCUGUGGUUCACUUGGGAAUGGGG
This 228-nucleotide long non-coding RNA is filed under the name Gossypium barbadense (sea-island cotton). RNAcentral describes it as "long non-coding RNA (GBAR_LNC019748)". Lineage: Eukaryota; Viridiplantae; Streptophyta; Magnoliopsida; Malvales; Malvaceae. The record is from RNAcentral.